This is a long non-coding RNA of Homo sapiens (human), 3805 nucleotides long. Ensembl annotates it as PYDC2 antisense RNA 1. Its record names the gene PYDC2-AS1. The record is from Ensembl. Lineage: Eukaryota; Metazoa; Chordata; Mammalia; Primates; Hominidae.
UUUCUUCUCGUCUGUCGCCAUGUGAGAUGUACCUUUCACUUUCCUCCAUGAUUGUGAGGCCUCCUUAGCCACAUGGAACUGCCCUGGCAAUCACUAUUCCAGUCUCUGCUUCUAUGAGUUUGACUAUUUCAGAUUCCACAUGUAGGAAAUGCUGGAGUCCUUCAUCCGAAUGGUAAAUGGCACUUGUGACAAAAAUCAAAGUAACUAAAAAAGAAUCUGGUUGAAACCUCAGUAACAGUUGGCCUGUCUACUGCCUCACACUAACAAGGGGGAGCUAAUAAAACCGAGGUUAGAACACACAAUGUGGAAAUGAAAACCUUAUUCUUGUCAAUGGAUGGAGGGUGGCAAGAAGACCCUCACCAGAUUCCAGCCCCUCGAUCUUUGAUUUUCCAGCCUCCAAAAACAUGAGCCAGUAAAUUUCUGUUUGUUUGUUAUAAAUUACCCAGUCUGUGGUGUUCUGUUAUAGCAGCACAAAAUGGAGACAAAUGGUCAGGUAACACUGAAAGAUGCUCAUGCUUCCUAGGAAAUAGGAUCAUUUAUAUUUUAUAAAAUAAUACAUCAACAAUAUGAUACAAAAAUUAAACACCUGGCAAUAAUAUGUACAGUUAGAAUGAAACCACUAAUGAUUAUUCUUUGAUGGAGCAGAUAAUAGUAAAUACAAUUAGAUCAAUUUGAUAAUAUCCAGUAAAUUUAAAGAUGUGAAAACAAUUUUCAGAGAAACAUGCAUGUGAUUAAAAAGACAUAAACAGAAGAGAACAUUGCUAUAUUAUGAUAGAAGAAAAUCUGAAUGUUCAUUAAGUGAAUAGAUGAAUAAAUUAUAAUAUACCCAUAAUGCGAUAUACUACAGGGUACUUCAAAUGAAUCAACUAUAUUUACACAUAUCAACAAAGAUAAAUAUUAAAGAAUGUAAGAUCAUGGCAAAAAGCAAGUUGCAGAAAACUACGUAUAGGAUGUAGCACUUAUGUAAAGUCUAAAUCAUACAAAAUAAUAAUGUUCCAACUCAAUAAAGGCAAAUAUAGGACGUAAAUAUAUGCAACCAUGAAUGGUAUUGAAAAAUGCAAAAUUAAGCAUAUUUAGUAUCUUUUCUGAUGGGUCAUGGAAUGCAAGAUGAGCAUGAGAGGCUUCAACCCCACCUAUUUAUUAUUUAUCACUUAAAAAUUAUUUUUUGAUAACAAAAUGAUAAAGUGGCUGAAUUUCAAGAGAGACAGUGUCUACAUAGGUGUUUGUUGUAAUAUUCCUUCUACAAUUAAAAUUCACUGGGAUCAAACAUCCCCAGGUCUCUAGCCAGAACCAAUAAUUACUACGUUUUGAGUCAUUUUUUAGUCUUUCUUCUGCAGGUAAUUCUGAUUUUCAUUAAAAAUAAGGAAGGCAUGUUUUGUGCUUAAGCUGAGACAGGUUUAAGUGACAUUAUUUUUCAAUCCAAUUAGGUGCCCUGAUUCCAUUUAUUCAGAAGGAGAUUUAUAUCUAUAUAUGCCACUUGCAAAUAUGACUGCCAUUUUCUAAUUAAGAAGAAAUUUUAUCUUGACUAGAUCUAUUUCACCUAUAGAUGAAUGCUUGAUUUAACAUUUACAUAAUUAAUUGGGUGUGUCUGCUUGCUACUACAUUCUCAUGAAACUUUGCAGCUUCUCAACUACAUCCAAACCUAUUACCUUUUAAGAACCUAAGUAUUUUCCCAGUAUAAACAGUUUUCCAUCGUAUGAGCUUUAAAUAAUAUUUUAACAUAAAAUAUACAGUUUACACAGGGAUAUCUAAAGUGAUGUCUAUACAAAUCCUAAUGUGAAUGUUUUUGUAAAGUGAAAUAUCUUCUUGUCGUGGGAAUUAAUCUUUGUAAAUAUAAAUUAUCUCUUUAUUAUCUUUCUAAAACUUUUCAAUUCCUUAAAUUCAGGUGAAUGUUAACUCAUUUUGUCAGCAGAAUAUUUUUCAAAGUUAUUUAUUAUCUAUAAAAUAUAUUUGCUUAAGGUUUAGCAUUUUGGGGAAAUUAUAUAACAGCUAUCAAAUGAGGGUCUUCUGUAAGUGCUUAUAAAAUCAAUAAUCUAAUGAUAUAAAUAGAUCUAUAAAGAGAUGAUAAAAUUAAAGAACAAUUACUAACAUUCUAACUAGUCUAACAUUUUAUGCCAAUCAAGAACAUAUACCUGUUUAAGAUAUUCAGAGUAUACUUUAUGCUUUAUUAUUAAACAGUAUAAAUAAUAUUUCAGAAUUUUUUAGAAUACCAAGUAUAUUGUACAUGAACAUGGCAUCAAAUUUAGUGUCAUGGGAAAGAAUCUUUAGCUAUAAUUAUGUAGUACUGGUGCAAUACGUAAUUUGUUUUAGCGUGACAGACCCCCAGGUCUUCAGUAAGCUCCAAACUGCCAGGGAAAACAGAUGAGUAAGAAACUGGACAGAGAAGCGCAAUUUUUAAAAUGAAGAACUUGAUCUAAAUAUUUUAGAGUGUUUCCCAUUUAAAAAAAAACAGAAAUUGAUUAUAUAUAUAUAUAUAUAUAUAUAUAUAUAUAUAUAUAUAAUUGUGUCAGUUCUCCAGAUUGUUUCACAUGGAAUUUACAUCUUUGCAACCCUGAAACCCUGUUUCAGUCCUGUCUUUUUCACUGAGUGUUCCAAAAUCUCUUUCCCAUAGUUGCUGCAUAAUUUCUUAAAUUGCUUAGAAGCUUUCAAGGGGAAAGGAGCUAAGUGAGUAGAUUAACGAGGGGCUGUUUGUGAAAUUCUUAAGAGUUCGUCAAUGGCAGGUGUGAUAAAUUACAACAUUGUUAUGAUGAUGAUCGUGUAGCAAACCAUUAUUAGUGCUUAAGGUGGACUAUCUCAUUACACAAACACCACUUGAAUUUGAACAUACGUCAGCAGAAAAUGUAAACGGUUCACACAAUUCCAACCAAACAGGCAUUUCUCUAGUUGAAAUUAGGCUUGGAAGUAUUGGCCAUGUUUACUAUCAAAUGGUUCAGUUACAUUUUACUAAUGUACAGGAAAACCUAAACUCAUGUACAUCGAAAAUUAACUCUUAAACAUUUCUUUGCGUAAUUAUCUAUUUUUCUUGAAAUUUUUGUAUGUGACACGUUCCUUAAAUAAAACCUCUGCUAAAAUAACAUAAUUCAAUGAGUUUAAGAGCAGAUAAAUGACACAGUAAGAUAUUCAGAAGUUUUAUAAAAAAUAAAUCAUGUGAAUAAACAAUUGUGUUUGGUAUAAAUGGAAUAUUGUCAGUGUCCUUUUAUGAAUUAAAAUGGCUUUAUUCCAGCCUGGGCAACAUGGCAAAACUCUGUCCCUACAAAUAAUAUAAAAAUUAGCUGGGCGUGGUGGCACACAUUUGUAGUCCCAGCUGAGGUGGGAGAAUCACCUGAGCCUGGGAAAUCAAGGCUGCAGUGAGCCGUGAUUGUGCCACUGCACUCCAGGCUGGGCGACAGAGUAAGACCCUGUCUCAAAAAAUUAAAUUAAAUGGCUUAAUAGCCUGGUUCUAAAAACCAAUGUGUACCAAAUAGAGAAAUUCCAGUUUUUAGCUUCAUUCAUUUAAUCAUUGUUAAAAAUAUCACCGAUUAUUCUUCACGAUUUAAAAAAUAAAUUCUACACAACGUAGACUAAUUGAAUGUAAAUUCAGUGACAUAAACUCCGUGCUCAUUUAUACCCAAAUCUGUUAUUCUUCUACUCUGUAUCCCAGCUAUGAACACUUUCUAUCAUCUCCAAUGCUCCGGCCCAAGAUUUCAAUUGUUUCUUAUCUGGAAUUGUUAAAGUUGUUUAACUGAUGUCCUUGCUUCAAUCCCUGAACUCCUACUUUCAUCAUCUAGAGACAUCAGUGUAAACUUUUUAAAAUGUAAAUUGGAUC